CGGAGUGUAGCUUAAAUAAAGCAACUGCCUUACACCCAGGAGAUUCUAUUAUUAUGGACACUUCGA
Molecule: transfer RNA, 66 nt
Filed under: Atelerix albiventris (middle-African hedgehog)
Lineage: Eukaryota; Metazoa; Chordata; Mammalia; Eulipotyphla; Erinaceidae
Description: tRNA-Val
Rfam family: tRNA
About the family: Transfer RNA (tRNA) molecules are approximately 80 nucleotides in length. Their secondary structure includes four short double-helical elements and three loops (D, anti-codon, and T loops). Further hydrogen bonds mediate the characteristic L-shaped molecular structure. tRNAs have two regions of fundamental functional importance: the anti-codon, which is responsible for specific mRNA codon recognition, and the 3' end, to which the tRNAs corresponding amino acid is attached (by aminoacyl-tRNA synthetases). tRNAs cope with the degeneracy of the genetic code in two manners: having more than one tRNA (with a specific anti-codon) for a particular amino acid; and 'wobble' base-pairing, i.e. permitting non-standard base-pairing at the 3rd anti-codon position.
Source: RNAcentral